GACGAACGCUGGCGGCGUGCUUAACACAUGCAAGUCGAACGGAAAGGCCCUGCCUUUGUGGGGUGCUCGAGUGGCGAACGGGUGAGUAACACGUGAGUAACCUGCCCUUGACUUUGGGAUAACUUCAGGAAACUGGGGCUAAUACCGGAUAGGAGCUCCUGCUGCAUGGUGGGGGUUGGAAAGUUUCGGCGGUUGGGGAUGGACUCGCGGCUUAUCAGCUUGUUGGUGGGGUAGUGGCUUACCAAGGCUUUGACGGGUAGCCGGCCUGAGAGGGUGACCGGCCACAUUGGGACUGAGAUACGGCCCAGACUCUUACGGGAGGCAGCAGUGGGGAAUAUUGCACAAUGGGCGGAAGCCUGAUGCAGCAACGCCGCGUGCGGGAUGACGGCCUUCGGGUUGUAAACCGCUUUCGCCUGUGACGAAGCGUGAGUGACGGUAAUGGGUAAAGAAGCACCGGCUAACUACGUG
RNAcentral lists this ribosomal RNA (468 nucleotides) under uncultured bacterium. RNAcentral describes it as "partial 16S ribosomal RNA". It matches the Rfam family "Bacterial small subunit ribosomal RNA", at positions 28 to 507 of the family's 1533-position model. The record is from RNAcentral.